RNAcentral lists this ribosomal RNA (929 nucleotides) under Ascaridoidea gen. n. sp. g SKM-2023. RNAcentral describes it as "SSU rRNA". It matches the Rfam family "Eukaryotic small subunit ribosomal RNA", at positions 87 to 1022 of the family's 1831-position model. Lineage: Eukaryota; Metazoa; Nematoda; Chromadorea; Rhabditida. The record is from RNAcentral.
UCCCGAAUGGGCUCAUACAACAGCUAUUAUAUACUUGAUCUUGAUAUCCUACGUGGAUAACUGUGGUAAUUCUAGAGCUAAUACAUGCACCAAAGCUCCGAAUUUUUGACGAGCGCAUCUAUUAGAUUAAAACCAAUCGGGUUUCGGCCCGUUUGUUGGUGACUCUGAAUAACUAUAGCUGAUCGCAUGGUCUCGAACCGGCGACGUGUCUAUCAAGUGUCUGCCUUAUCAACUGUCGAUGGUAGUUUAUGUGCCUACCAUGGUUGUAACGGGUAACGGAGAAUAAGGGUUCGACUCCGGAGAGGGAGCCUGAGAAACGGCUACCACAUCCAAGGAAGGCAGCAGGCGCGCAAAUUACCCACUCUCGGCAUGAGGAGGUAGUGACGAAAAAUAACGAGACCGUUCUCUAUGAGGCCGGUUAUCGGAAUGGGUACAAUUUAAACCCGUUAACGAGGAUCUAUGAGAGGGCAAGUCUGGUGCCAGCAGCCGCGGUAAUUCCAGCUCUCAAAGUGUAUAUCGUCAUUGCUGCGGUUAAAAAGCUCGUAGUUGGAUCUGCGCCUCAGGACUUGGUCCGCCCACUGGGUGAGAACUGGGCUCCUGGGCUAGUUCUGCUGGUUUUCCCUGCGUUGCCUUCAUCGGUAGCGUAGGGUGGCUAGCGAGUUUACUUUGAAAAAAUUAGAGUGCUUCACGCGGGCUUAUGUCUGAAUACUCGUGCAUGGAAUAAUAGAAUAGGAUCUCGGCUCUAUUUUGUUGGUUUUCUGAUCUGAGAUAAUGGUUAAGAGGGACGGACGGGGGCAUUCGUAUCGCUGCGUGAGAGGUGAAAUUCUUGGACCGUAGCGAGACGUCCGACUGCGAAAGCAUUUGCCAAGAAUGUCUUCAUUAAUCAAGAACGAAAGUCAGAGGUUCGAAGGCGAUCAGAUACCGCCCAA